GACGGGUGAGUAACACGUGGGUAACCUGCCUUAUAGUGGGGAAUAGCCUUUCGAAAGGAAGAUUAAUACCCCAUAAGAUUGUAGUUUCGCAUGAAACAGCAAUUAAAGGAGCAAUUCGCUAUAAGAUGGACCCGCGGCGCAUUAGCUAGUUGGUGAGGUAACGGCUCACCAAGGCGACGAUGCGUAGCCGACCUGAGAGGGUGAUCGGCCACAUUGGGACUGAGACACGGCCCAGACUCC
This 240-nucleotide ribosomal RNA is filed under the name uncultured Clostridium sp. Its description in RNAcentral is "partial 16S ribosomal RNA". It matches the Rfam family "Bacterial small subunit ribosomal RNA", at positions 102 to 339 of the family's 1533-position model. The record is from RNAcentral. Lineage: Bacteria; Bacillati; Bacillota; Clostridia; Eubacteriales; Clostridiaceae.